GUGAGCGAGCUUGGUCUUUCCCUCCAUUAUGCCUUCCCUCCGUCAGUCUUGUUGUUGCCGACGACCUUGGUACACUCGUCUACCAUUGCUGGAGGUUCUCUUCCUCCUCUAUACUGGUUGUGGGGUGUGUCGGACAUUCUUCUUCUUCCCCCAUGUUCGAUCUGCAGCUUCCCCUACUCUGUUUGAUGCUCUGUCCGAUCUGAUGUCAAUGUACCUGUGUGAAGAAACACAGUUCAUCGUUGCUGUCAGUUGCCGCUUGGUUUGUGAGUCUUCCUUCUUUGUUUCAUUUAGUGCUGUUGUUUGGUGUGAUGGUGAUAAAGCAUCGUCGUUCCUCUUCUCUUUUGGAUGCUGAUUAUGAGAAGAGCCACGAGUGACACGUGGAGGAGUCCCAGAGGCUUAGUGGUAUAGAUCCACUGUCUCUUUUGGGUAUUUAAUUUAUGAUUUAUAAUGUGUUAUAUUGCCAAUAUUAGGGCUUUUUGUUUAUUGUCAAUUAUAUGAAUAUAUAAAUGUAAUCAUGCCUUUCAAACUAUUUCUAUUUUUGGUACAAUUUGGAUGACUGUAAUUUUAAUAUUUGGUUUACUUUGGAUUGGUUAAAAUGGCAUGAUUAUAAGGCCAAAUAACUGGCUUGUGUUGAAAAUUGACUAAAUUGUUUAUUUUACUUGUUGGGAGUAUAAGGAUGGACAAAUGUGAUUUAGUUUACUUGUUGGGAGUAUAAGGAUGGACAAAUGUGAUUUAGCCUAAUGGCAUGUGGGAGGUAAAAA
Prosopis cineraria is the source of this 761-nucleotide RNA transcript. RefSeq lists it as uncharacterized. The record is from RefSeq and is a predicted model, not a curated record. NCBI's taxonomy places the organism in Eukaryota, Viridiplantae, Streptophyta, Magnoliopsida, Fabales, Fabaceae. The transcript has 2 exons.